RNAcentral lists this small nuclear RNA (104 nucleotides) under Ursus thibetanus thibetanus. The record is from RNAcentral. Lineage: Eukaryota; Metazoa; Chordata; Mammalia; Carnivora; Ursidae.
UUGCUCACUUUGGCAGCACAUAUACCAAAACUGGAACAAUACAGAGAUUAGCACAGCCCCUGCUCAAGGAUGACAUGCAAGUCUGUGAAGCGUUCCAUAAAAAA